UAAUGUCUAAGGAGUAUUUCUGCCAAAUUUGGUGCUUGCAUAACCAUUUGAACGAUUCCACUGUCAAUAUUCUGUUAUCUGCUGCACUAUACCGAUCUGCGGAGAGGAAAA
This is a long non-coding RNA of Thalassophryne amazonica, 111 nucleotides long. RefSeq lists it as uncharacterized. The record is from RefSeq and is a predicted model, not a curated record. The transcript has 3 exons. Lineage: Eukaryota; Metazoa; Chordata; Actinopteri; Batrachoidiformes; Batrachoididae.